AAUCAUCACCUUAAGAAUGGAACAGAUUCUAUGGAUUUGCAAACAUUGUGUUUAUGUCCUCUGGUUCUAAUGUACUCCUGCAAAUCCUUCAUCUAAUCCUACUCUUUGGAACCUCAUCACUAUCACUAGUCCACUUCAUAGUUGAAAAAAAAAACCCACCCAAAACAGAGCAACUGCCAGUAGUUCUAAUGAGAUUCAUCAUGAGGGUGUUUUGGAUCUCCACCAUGGCCACAUUUUGAACCCAAUCCAUUAAAAUUUCAUGAAUGUUGAACACCUAAUGAAUAAAAAUACAUACAUGCUUAGUUUGAAAAUAAUCCAUGUGUAAAAAUAUAACAUAUAGCGGCCUACAAAUACAUAUAUCGUCAGUUUGAAAAUUUACCAUAUGAUUCAAUGUAACUGAUAUAAAGACAUCGAUAUUUAAAGAGUCGAUUCACUAUUAGUAAGGACGUUGAUAUAUGAAGAGACAAUUCACUAUUACUAGGACAUCGAUAUCUGAAGA
RNAcentral lists this long non-coding RNA (499 nucleotides) under Lactuca sativa (garden lettuce). RNAcentral describes it as "long non-coding RNA (LSAT_LNC006913)". The record is from RNAcentral. Lineage: Eukaryota; Viridiplantae; Streptophyta; Magnoliopsida; Asterales; Asteraceae.